GUGCAAUAAAAACACAGUCCAAUAAAAACAGUCUUAACACUUAAACACAUGGCAACUGAACUGGCCAACUGCAACUGCAAGUCUGCAACUGCAACAGUCUUAAGUCUUAAGUCUUAACAGUCUUAACACUUAAAGUCUUAAACAGUUAAACAUAGUGCAACAAAAACAGAGAGAGCAAUGUUUGCACUCUACUUUGCGAACUUCUCCGUUAUCUUCUUUCACCACAAAGUAUUCCCAAAUAUCGGAGCGUUGAGCAGUAGCACAGGGCAUGAUUGCACUUGAACCUAAAAAAAAUAUAAAUCAUAAGUUAGAAUAUUAUAGUUUGAUGAUAAUAAAACAAAACUACAAACUAUUAAGUAUAUCAUUAUCACCAAACAAAUAGAGUAUUAAACUUACCACUCAAGAUGCAAGUUGCAACUAUACAUCAAACAAUGCUAGUAGUGCUUCCAUGAUUUUCCAUAUCUAAA
Molecule: long non-coding RNA, 467 nt
Filed under: Nicotiana tabacum (common tobacco)
Lineage: Eukaryota; Viridiplantae; Streptophyta; Magnoliopsida; Solanales; Solanaceae
Description: long non-coding RNA (NTAB_LNC015398)
Source: RNAcentral